Molecule: ribosomal RNA, 252 nt
Filed under: uncultured bacterium
Lineage: Bacteria
Description: partial 16S ribosomal RNA
Rfam family: Bacterial small subunit ribosomal RNA
Source: RNAcentral
UAGUCCACGCCGUAAACGAUGAGUGCUAGGUGUUGGGGGUCAAACCUCGGUGCCGUCGCAAACGCAAUAAGCACUCCGCCUGGGGAGUACGUGCACAAGCAUGAAACUCAAAGGAAUUGACGGGGACCCGCACAAGCAGCGGAGCAUGUGGUUUAAUUCGUGGCUACGCGAAGAACCUUACCAGGACUUGACAUAUAUAUGAGGGGACAUAGAGAUAUGAAACCGAGGGAAGCUUGCUUCACACAUAUAUAC